UCCGGAGGGGGCGAGCGUUGUUCGGAAUCCUUGGGCGUAAAGGGCGCGUAGGCGGCCGUCCAAGUCGGGUGUGAAAUCCCUCGGCUCAACCGAGGAACCGCACUCGAUACUGGUCGGCUAGAGUCCGGGAGGGGAUGGUGGAAUUCCCAGUGUAGCGGUGAAAUGCGUAGAUAUUGGGAAGAACACCGGUGGCGAAGGCGGCCAUAUGG
This 209-nucleotide ribosomal RNA is filed under the name uncultured prokaryote. RNAcentral's name for it is "partial 16S ribosomal RNA". It matches the Rfam family "Bacterial small subunit ribosomal RNA", at positions 524 to 732 of the family's 1533-position model. The record is from RNAcentral.